RNAcentral lists this ribosomal RNA (444 nucleotides) under uncultured bacterium. RNAcentral's name for it is "bacterial SSU rRNA". It matches the Rfam family "Bacterial small subunit ribosomal RNA", at positions 1 to 451 of the family's 1533-position model. The record is from RNAcentral.
GAUUAGAGUUUGAUCCUGGCUCAGGAUGAACGUUGGCGGUGUGCCUAAUACAUGCAAGUCGAACGGAGAUUGUAGCAAUACGGUCUUAGUGGCGAACGGGUGAGUAACGCGUUGGUGAUCUGCCUCGAAGUGUGGAAUAACGAUUCGAAAGAAUCGCUAAUACCGCAUAGUCUCUCUUUUUCCAGAAAUUUGAGAGUAAAGGAUUUAUUCGCUUUGAGAGGAGCCUGCGUCCCAUCAGCUAGUUGGUAAGGUAAUGGCCUACCAAGGCGAUGACGGGUAGGGGACCUGAGAGGGUGGCCCCCCACAAUGGAACUGAAACACGGUCCAUACACCUACGGGUGGCAGCAGUAGGGAAUAUUAGAAAUGGACGAAAGUCUGAUCUAGCAACACCGCGUGUGCGAAGAAGGCCUUCGGGCUGUAAAGCACUUUUGGAAGGAUAGGAAG